RNAcentral lists this ribosomal RNA (250 nucleotides) under uncultured bacterium. Its description in RNAcentral is "partial 16S ribosomal RNA". It matches the Rfam family "Bacterial small subunit ribosomal RNA", at positions 524 to 776 of the family's 1533-position model. The record is from RNAcentral.
GACAGAGGAGCCAAGCGUUGUCCGGAUUGACUGGGCGUAAAGCGCACGCAGGCGGUCGUGCACGUGGGUGUGAAACUGGCGGCUUAACUGCCAGAGGCCACCUCAUAUGGCGCGACUCGAGCCCUGCAGAGGUCCAUGGAAUUGCCGGUGUAGUGGUGAAAUGCGUAGAGAUCGGCAGGAACACCCAGGGGAAACCAGUGGACUGGGCAGGAGCUGACGCUCAGGUGCGAAAGCGUGGGGAGCGAACCGG